GACGAACGCUGGCGGCGUGCUUAACACAUGCAAGUCGAACGGUGAAGGGACCAGCUUGCUGGUUCUGGAUGAGUGGCGAACGGGUGAGUAACACGUGAGUAACCUGCCCCCUUCUUCUGGAUAACCGCAUGAAAGUGUGGCUAAUACGGGAUAUUCUGGGUCUGUCGCAUGACGGGCCCGGGAAAGAUGCGCCUUUGGGUGUUUUUGGUGGGGGAUGGGCUCGCGGCCUAUCAGCUUGUUGGUGGGGUGAUGGCCUACCAAGGCGGUGACGGGUAGCCGGCCUGAGAGGGUGGACGGUCACACUGGGACUGAGACACGGCCCAGACUCCUACGGGAGGCAGCAGUGGGGAAUAUUGCACAAUGGGCGCAAGCCUGAUGCAGCGACGCCGCGUGAGGGAUGGAGGCCUUCGGGUUGUAAACCUCUUUCGCCAGUGAAGCAGGCCUGCUCCUUGUGGGUGGGUUGACGGUAGCUGGAUAAGAAGCGCCGGCUAACUACGUGCCAGCAGCCGCCGUAAAAC
This 518-nucleotide ribosomal RNA is filed under the name uncultured bacterium. RNAcentral's name for it is "bacterial SSU rRNA". It matches the Rfam family "Bacterial small subunit ribosomal RNA", at positions 28 to 526 of the family's 1533-position model. The record is from RNAcentral.